Molecule: ribosomal RNA, 497 nt
Filed under: uncultured bacterium
Lineage: Bacteria
Description: partial 16S ribosomal RNA
Rfam family: Bacterial small subunit ribosomal RNA
Source: RNAcentral
GAUGAACGCUGGCGGCGUGCCUAAUACAUGCAAGUCGAGCGAACAGACGAGGAGCUUGCUCCUCUGACGUUAGCGGCGGACGGGUGAGUAACACGUGGAUAACCUACCUAUAAGACUGGGAUAACUUCGGGAAAGCGGAGCUAAUACCGGAUAAUAUAUUGAACCGCAUGGUUCAAUAGUGAAAGACGGUUUUGCUGUCACUUAUAGAUGGAUCCGCGCCGCAUUAGCUAGUUGGUAAGGUAACGGCUUACCAAGGCAACGAUGCGUAGCCGACCUGAGAGGGUGAUCGGCCACACUGGAACUGAGACACGGUCCAGACUCCUACGGGAGGCCGCAGUAGGGAAUCUUCCGCAAUGGGCGAAAGCCUGACGGAGCAACGCCGCGCGAGUGAUGAAGGUCUUCGGAUCGUAAAACUCUGUUAUUAGGGAAGAACAAAUGUGUAAGUAACUAUGAACGUCUUGACGGUACCUAAUCAGAAAGCCACGGCUAACUACGUG